CCUACGGGCGGCAGCAGUCGAGAAUCAUUCACAAUGGGGGAAACCCUGAUGGGGCGACGCCGCGUGGGGGAAUGAAGGUCUGCGGAUUGUAAACCCCUGUCAUGUGGGAGCAAAUUAAAAAGAGAGUACCACAAGAGGAAGAGACUGCGAACUCGGGGCCAGCAGCCGCGGUAAUACAGAGGUCUCAAGCGUUGUUCGGAACCACUGGGCGUAAAGGGUGCGUAGGCUGUUCCGUAAGUCGUGUGUGAAAGGCGCGGGCUCAACCCGCGGACGGCACCUGAUACUGCGAGACUAGAGUACUGGUGGGGCAACCGGCAUUCUCGGUGUAGCCG
RNAcentral lists this ribosomal RNA (332 nucleotides) under uncultured bacterium. RNAcentral's name for it is "partial 16S ribosomal RNA". It matches the Rfam family "Bacterial small subunit ribosomal RNA", at positions 338 to 681 of the family's 1533-position model. The record is from RNAcentral.